This 390-nucleotide ribosomal RNA is filed under the name Triticum aestivum (bread wheat). RNAcentral describes it as "partial small subunit ribosomal RNA". Lineage: Eukaryota; Viridiplantae; Streptophyta; Magnoliopsida; Poales; Poaceae. The record is from RNAcentral.
AUGUUUUCCAGGCAACUGAAAAGAACUUUCAAGUUCGUUUCCAGCAACAACAGAGAGAUGUGCUUCAGUAGAGGAUCAAAUGAUCAGAGAGAGGAGAUGAACCUGGGCACCAGCCGAGCCCAGCAGCAGCUCCUGGACGUGGGAGAGGAGGAGCGCCUGCGCCUGGAUGCAGUGGCCGGAGGUGGGGACAGAGGUGGAGGUGGAGGAACAGCCUGUGCUCGCCUCCACCUGGGCGCGGGCCAGGAGGAGCCGAUGCGCGUGGGCGACAGCAGAGCACCAGCUCUACUCCGGCGGCGGCAGCGCCUGGGCAGGGGGCGGAGGAGGUGGAGGGUGGGGGCGGAGGUGGAAGACGAUGGAGGUAGAAGACGAUCGAUCGGAUUCAAAUUUUGA